UUAGCUAAGCAGUUUAUUGAGCGAUUGAACUUUGAAUUGAAGAGUUUGAUCAUGGCUCAGAUUGAACGCUGGCGGCAGGCUUAACACAUGCAAGUCGAACGGUAGCAGGAAGAAAGCUUGCUUUCUUUGCUGACGAGUGGCGGACGGGUGAGUAAUGCUUGGGAAUCUGGCUUAUGGAGGGGGAUAACUGUGGGAAACUGCAGCUAAUACCGCGUAUUCUCUGAGGAGGAAAAGGUGGGACCUUAGGGCCACCUGCCAUAAGAUGAGCCCAAGUGGGAUUAGGUAGUUGGUGGGGUAAAGGCCUACCAAGCCUGCGAUCUCUAGCUGGUCUGAGAGGAUGACCAGCCACACUGGAACUGAGACACGGUCCAGACUCCUACGGGAGGCAGCAGUGGGGAAUAUUGCGCAAUGGGGGGAACCCUGACGCAGCCAUGCCGCGUGAAUGAAGAAGGCCUUCGGGUUGUAAAGUUCUUUCGGUAAUGAGGAAGGGAUGUUGUUAAAUAGAUAGCAUCAUUGACGUUAAUUACAGAAGAAGCACCGGCUAACUCCGUGCCAGCAGCCGCGGUAAUACGGAGGGUGCGAGCGUUAAUCGGAAUAACUGGGCGUAAAGGGCACGCAGGCGGACUUUUAAGUGAGAUGUGAAAUCCCCGAGCUUAACUUGGGAACUGCAUUUCAGACUGGGAGUCUAGAGUACUUUAGGGAGGGGUAGAAUUCCACGUGUAGCGGUGAAAUGCGUAGAGAUGUGGAGGAAUACCGAAGGCGAAGGCAGCCCCUUGGGAAUGUACUGACGCUCAUGUGCGAAAGCGUGGGGAGCAAACAGGAUUAGAUACCCUGGUA
RNAcentral lists this ribosomal RNA (837 nucleotides) under Pasteurella multocida subsp. multocida. RNAcentral describes it as "bacterial SSU rRNA". It matches the Rfam family "Bacterial small subunit ribosomal RNA", at positions 1 to 792 of the family's 1533-position model. The record is from RNAcentral. Lineage: Bacteria; Pseudomonadati; Pseudomonadota; Gammaproteobacteria; Pasteurellales; Pasteurellaceae.